RNAcentral lists this long non-coding RNA (818 nucleotides) under Monodelphis domestica (gray short-tailed opossum). Its description in RNAcentral is "lncRNA (ENSMODG00000050362.1)". Lineage: Eukaryota; Metazoa; Chordata; Mammalia; Didelphimorphia; Didelphidae. The record is from RNAcentral.
GAGUACUUAACUUUUUUUUAUGUCAUGGGCCUAUCUGGCAAUGUGAAGACUUCAUGACUCUUUUCUUGGAAUGAUACUUUUAAAUUCACAAUAUACACAGAAUUACAAAAGAAACCAAAGAUGAGUGGAAAUAAAUAAUUAUUUUUUCCCAAAUACAAGUUCCCAAGAAAAUCACAGAUUCCAAGUUAAGUGCCUCUGGAUUGAACUAUGAGCAAAGUUUUUAACCUUCUUUGUAUCACAGACAUCUUUGGCAAUAUGGUGACACCUAGGGAACCCUUCUCAAAAUCAUAUCUUUUAAAUGCACAAAAUAAAGUACCUGAGAAUACAGAGGAAAUCGAUUUUAUUGAAAUAUAGUUAUCAACAUAUUAAAAAGAAACAGACGAAGUUCAUGAACCUCCAAAAUAAGUACACUUACGCUUGCUCUAGUCAUCAGAAACACCCAUUGGGAGGGAAGAGAAACAGAUUCUGCUUUUCCCACAGAGUCGUCUUGCUUUUACACUUCUCUGCUAUUAAGCCUAGGCUCCAGGAAGAGUUUGGUGCCAUUAACUCCAGGCAAAAUCCUCAUUUCUCUCAACUGUUUCUUGAAUGACACAACUGUCAAAAUCCUCACCAUACUUACUGCCUACAUCUCGAUACUCUCUUGCUCAUCAAUGUCCUUUUUAAAGUGUAUGGCCGAGAUGAAUUAUUUCUUCAGUUGCUACAAGAGUUGGAAAAUAUUAUUUAACCUAUUUCAAUAAUCUUCACAAACUCUUGGAGAAUAAGAAAGAUGCCAAAAGAUUGAAAACUGCUUUCAGAAUCAAUCAAUAAUAAUUCUAGAA